This 497-nucleotide ribosomal RNA is filed under the name uncultured bacterium. Its description in RNAcentral is "partial 16S ribosomal RNA". It matches the Rfam family "Bacterial small subunit ribosomal RNA", at positions 28 to 507 of the family's 1533-position model. The record is from RNAcentral.
GAUGAACGCUGGCGGCGUGCCUAAUACAUGCAAGUCGAGCGAACAGACGAGGAGCUUGCUCCUCUGACGUUAGCGGCGGACGGGUGAGUAACACGUGGAUAACCUACCUAUAAGACUGGGAUAACUUCGGGAAACCGGAGCUAAUACCGGAUAAUAUAUUGAACCGCAUGGUUCAAUAGUGAAAGACGGUUUUGCUGUCACUUAUAGAUGGAUCCGCGCCGCAUUAGCUAGUUGGUAAGGUAACGGCUUACCAAGGCAACGAUGCGUAGCCGACCUGAGAGGGUGAUCGGCCACACUGGAACUGAGACACGCUCCAGACUCCUACGGGAGGCAGCAGUAGGGAAUCUUCCGCAAUGGGCGAAAGCUUGACGGAGCAACGCCGCGUGAGUGAUGAAGGUCUUCGGAUCGUAAAACUCUGUUAUUAGGGAAGAACAAAUGUGUAAGUAGCUAUGCACGUCUUGACGGUACCUAAUCAGAAAGCCACGGCUAACUACGUG